UACGAAGGGGGCUAGCGUUGCUCGGAAUCACUGGGCGUAAAGGGUGCGUAGGCGGUUCUUUAAGUCAGGGGUGAAAUCCUGGAGCUCAACUCCAGAACUGCCUUUGAUACUGAAGAUCUUGAGUUCGGGAGAGGUGAGUGGAACUGCGAGUGUAGAGGUGAAAUUCGUAGAUAUCAGGAAGAACACCCGUGGCGAAAGCGGCUCUCUGGAACGGUACUGACGCUGAGACGCGAAAGCGUGGGGAGCGAACAGG
Molecule: ribosomal RNA, 253 nt
Filed under: uncultured bacterium
Lineage: Bacteria
Description: partial 16S ribosomal RNA
Rfam family: Bacterial small subunit ribosomal RNA
Source: RNAcentral